Acanthochromis polyacanthus (spiny chromis) is the source of this 3193-nucleotide long non-coding RNA. RefSeq lists it as uncharacterized. Lineage: Eukaryota; Metazoa; Chordata; Actinopteri; Pomacentridae. The record is from RefSeq and is a predicted model, not a curated record. The transcript is spliced from 2 exons.
CAUCGACUGGAACAGGAGACACAGUGGCAUCAGCAGCGGUGGUUUGGUAGCGGCGCCGCACUGAGGAGGCCGCCCACAGAGACACGCCCCGCUCCGGCUGCAGGAGGCUACUUCACCCUGGGCGAGGGAGACAGACCGGAGAUCUCUGGCUGAGAAGUUCCACCUACCAGCAUGUGCACAGAUCUACAUCAGGGGGUGCUAUUUUCCAGACGGCCCCUCCAGUGAUUGCUGUUGCAGUACUGAACAUGGACAGCGGUGGUUUGUGUUUGAGGAAGGCGGGGUGAGGCUGUGUGUCGUGGGGAGAAAACCACUAUCGCUCCCAUCAUGCCUUGUUGCCGAAAGGAGACACUCUUUACACUCGGUGUGAGGGUAAGCAAUUAUUCCCCCUCUCUUUUAUCCCCCUGAGAUGGAGAGCACCAGCCACUGGUGAACAAAGCUGCUUUUGUACCAUACUAUGAGGACAGAGAAAAUCAGCAUAGAGCUCCCAACUCGUUCUCCGGUGUCUGUAUGUGUGUCCAUGUAUGCUCUUACACUGUAAGUCCUCUAAUUCUACUCCUGGCAAAGGGAGUUUUAGCGUUACAUCCUUUGGGUUGCAUCGUUUUAUUAGUCCUCAGGCAACUUCAAUAUUUAAAGUCUCUCUCUAGUUAUUGAUGAAACCUUUAAAACCUCACAUCCACAUUUGAAAAUUACAGAUUUAGAAGUUUAAAUAAGCUUUUAAAUUGCUCUACGCAGUCCCCACUCAUUGCAGCUCAAGCACACCUUUGGCUCAAACCCUGUAAAACUACCCAAUGCUACAAAAUAGUGAGAUGUAAUUUUGGGCUAAUUCAACCUUACAUGCUCCAUCUAGAAAUCAUUUCUGAAGAAGAGUAAAGAUACAGAGCCCCAUAGGGUGAAACGAGUGGUAUCAUACGUUUAAUUUAAACCUCAGAGUCUAAAUCAAUAUUUGCUCUCGUGGACUUUAAAUUGGAAAUGCUAAGUCAUGAUGUCUACUGCCUAUUUUGCUAAUGAUGCAUGCUCUAGCAUAUAAAAACAAACACCAUAGGGACAUAAUAAUAGGGUGAAAACUUGAUUUUCAACAAGGAAGGUUAUCAAGAUACUAUGAAGUGUUGAUUUUUAAAGAUAUAUUUUGUUAACACGAGGGCUGCUCUCAGGAAUUUUGCCACUUUGGUCAAAUCUGCUUGCUUAGCUUUACCAAAUUAGUUUUGAAAAUCUGUAGCUAGGAUUUUGAGGUUAUUUGUUUCUGUUUACCAAAAACUUGGUACUACACUACCUCAACACUCUCAUUAAAUUGGUUUUUAUUUUUCCCUCUAACUCAAAUAUGGAGCAAAUAAGCAAACUUCCCAAAAUGUGUCUAUUUCCCUCAAAGUUUUAGGAUUGGAAAACAUCGGUGGGUUUAGACUUAAUUGACUUGCUUGACUUUUUGGUAUUAUUGGCUAAAAUGCUGAUAAAUUGUUUUGCUUGUUGGACAUUUAAAUUCAAAUGUAAUUAUUUCACUUGUUCAGUUGUUGAUAAGAUGGUGGAAAUUUAGUUUUCAGACUACUACAGUACACACAAUAAUGUGUUCAUAUUACUAUAAACUUGCAGUAACACUUUGGAACAAAAGGGACAAGCUGCUAACAACCCAGUGACAUUUCAUCGCCUUUCAUGUUGAUAUUGUAAACCUGUUAGAAACUGUUUUGAUAUUCCACUCUCAAUAUUCCUUUUUUUAAGCUCUUUUUGGUCUCCCCGGGGAAAUUUCUGCCUCUUUUGAAGUUAAACAUGUAACUAUAUUUACCAUCUAGCUGCUGUGUGUGCCUGCGGUUCUUUUUUAAAAGGUAUUUUUGGGCAUUUUCACCGCUAUUGAACAGUGACAGUCAAGAGAGACGGAAAGCGUGGGCAAAGAGAGCAGGUGAAUGACAAGCAGUAAAGGGACCAGGCCAGCUGUCCACCGAACCGAGGAUUCAUUGCUCAGAGGCGUUUGCACCCAUGCAAUAUGCGCCCUAAUCACUCAGUCAUCAUGUCGCCUGUGUCUGUAGUUCGAACAUAUGUUAUAGUCACACUCUGUUCCCAGUUUUACUCUCAAUGCAAGCUCCCCUUCCAAUCAGUUGGAGUCGCUAGCAUUAGCAACAAGCACAUAAUCUUUCAACGAUGUUCGUUGGAUUGAAUAUGGGGGAGAAAGUGCAGUGAACAUGCAGCAAGGUAUAAUUUGCAACUGCUGGGCCACACUUCACCUUGAUUUCUGUGGGUUGAGUUUAGAUUUGUCAUUAGGCCUACAUUAGGGUGAGACUUAACCUCCUGCAUACACAGUGAACACAGGGCUCAGCAGAGAAUUGACAAAUGGGCCUUGAAAGUAUAGUGAGGCAAACUUCUAUUUGAGUGUGUGUGUGUGUGUGUGUGUGUGUGUGUGUGUGUGUGUGUGUGUGUGUGUGUGUGUGUGUGUGUGUGUGUGUGUGUGUGUGUGUGUGUGUGUGUGUGUGUGUGUGGCUUCAAAGAGAAACUCAGAUGGCCUCCUUUAUCCCUGAUUGCAAGUCAUUCCUUCAAUCUCUCGCUCAAUCUUCCUCUCCCUCUCUUUCUCUCUUCCCUUCUCCGGGCCAUCUCUCACUUAAUCUCCCAUUCUUUCGCACUCCACCUUCAAUUCAGUUUAAUUUGCUUGGCUGGCAUGGGAAGUAUGCAUUUAUGUCAGCCAGGCAUCCGCAGGGGUAACUGAUGGCGCAAUAACCAUAGGGAAACAAUGCUCUCAAACAGGAGGGAGUAGGUAUCGCUAUUGAACCAUUAAAUAAGGGAACGCUCAAUGCUCCGUGUGACUUUCUAGGAGGGAAAUGACUGUCUUUUUCCUCCAAAUGACUCCACUAUCUGCUGCAGGACUGGCCUGUUUGAAAGUGCAGAAUGAUGAAGUAACUUCUAAUUUGUGCUGUUUUGCCAUUGUACCAUAUGAAAACCCAUUUAUGAUGGAGGAUGAGCGUGACAGUGUGUGGAUAUACUAUACGCAUGACUGCAACUGAUGUAUUGAGGAUGGCUCCAUUUUGACUCAGGAAAGGGAAGCAUGGACGCACAUCGGAUGUGUUUGCCAAAAGUGCUGGUCAAAAAAAUAACAAAACAAAAACAAAGAAGAAUGAGAAAUAAAAGUGGGGUUCUAUGUGCAAGUCUUUCUUAUGCAACCAGUGGGACACAAUAGGAGUGAGGACACCCUUGGGCGUGUAACUCAAAUGUCAAA